AAAAUUUUAGAGAAAAAGAAAAGCAAAGUAAAUGCUCAUGGUUGUGUGGAGUUGAAAAGAAAAAGAAAAAGAAAAAGAUAGGGACCAAGGAAAAGGAAAUUGUGUAGAGUUGAAUCUUUGGGAAUGCUCCCUUAGGAUAGGCAAUUUGGUUGAAUUCUCUUAAUCUUAUCCUUUCUUGUAACCUAAGCCACAUUACAACCUUUGAAAGACCUCUUGAUUCUCAUUUUUCACAUAAUUUGGUACU
RNAcentral lists this long non-coding RNA (244 nucleotides) under Lathyrus oleraceus (garden pea). RNAcentral's name for it is "Pisum sativum (pea) long non-coding RNA (PSAT_LNC032797)". The record is from RNAcentral. Lineage: Eukaryota; Viridiplantae; Streptophyta; Magnoliopsida; Fabales; Fabaceae.